GUGCCAGCAGCCGCGGUAAAACGUAGGAGGCAAGCGUUAUCCGGAGUUACUGGGCGUAAAGCGUGCGUAGGCGGGUUGGUAAGUGGGUGGUGAAAGCGCUCGGCUAAACCGGGCGAGUGCCAUCCAGACUGCCAGUCUAGAGGCGGAUAGAGGGGUGCGGAAUUCCGGGUGUAGCGGUGAAAUGUGUAGAGAUCCGGAGGAACACCAGUGGUGCAAACGGCGCCCUGGGUCCGAACUGACGCUGAUGCACGAAAGCGUGGGGAGCGAACGGGAUUAGAUACCCCGGUAGUCC
RNAcentral lists this ribosomal RNA (292 nucleotides) under uncultured bacterium. Its description in RNAcentral is "partial 16S ribosomal RNA". It matches the Rfam family "Bacterial small subunit ribosomal RNA", at positions 505 to 796 of the family's 1533-position model. The record is from RNAcentral.